GACGAACGCUGGCGGCGCGCUUAACACAUGCAAGUCGAGCGAGAACCAGACCUUCGGGUCUGGGGACAGCGGCGAACGGGUGAGUAACACGUGGGUAAUCAACCCUCGGUACUGGGAUAGCCCGGGGAAACCCGGAUUAAUACCGGAUGGCCCUUCGGAUCUUCGGUUCUGAAGGAAAAGGUAGCUUCGGCCUCCGACCGAGGACGAGCCCGCGGCGGAUUAGCUUGUUGGUGGGGUAACGGCCUACCAAGGCGACGAUCCGUAGCUGGUCUGAGAGGACGAUCAGCCACACUGGGACUGAGACACGGCCCAGACUCCUACGGGAGGCAGCAGUGGGGAAUCUUGCGCUAAUGCGGGAAACCGUGACGCAGCGACGCCGCGUGGGGGAAGGCCUUCGGGUUGUAAACCUCUUUCAGGAGGGACGAAGCUACUCGGGUUAAUAGCCCAGAGGGUGACGGUACCUCCAGAAGAAGCCCCGGCUAACUACGUGCCAGCCGCCGCUUAA
This 505-nucleotide ribosomal RNA is filed under the name uncultured bacterium. RNAcentral describes it as "partial 16S ribosomal RNA". It matches the Rfam family "Bacterial small subunit ribosomal RNA", at positions 28 to 522 of the family's 1533-position model. The record is from RNAcentral.